Molecule: ribosomal RNA, 470 nt
Filed under: uncultured Chloroflexota bacterium
Lineage: Bacteria; Bacillati; Chloroflexota
Description: bacterial SSU rRNA
Rfam family: Bacterial small subunit ribosomal RNA
Source: RNAcentral
GAGUUUGAUCGUGGCCAGGACGAACGCUGGCGGCGUGCCUAAUGCAUGCAAGUCGCACGGGAGGCUUCGGCCUCUAGUGGCGCACGGCUGAGGAACACGUGGGAAUGUACCCUCUAGUGGGGGAUAACGCGCCGAAAGGCACGCUAAGCCCGCAUACGCUCGCAAGAGGAAAGCAGUAAUGCGCUGGAGGAGCAGCCUGCGGCCCAUCGGGUCGUUGGUGGGGUAAUGGCCUACCAAGCCGCUGACGGGUAGCUGGUCUGAGAGGACAGACAGCCAGACUGGGACUGAGACACGGCCCAGACUCCUACGGGAGGCAGCAGCAAGGAAUUUUCGUCAAUGGGCGCAAGCCUGAACGAGCAACGCCGCGUGGAGGAUGACGGCUUUCGGGUUGUAAACUCCUUUGGGGGGACGAUAAUGACGGUACCCUCCGAAUCAGCCCCGGCUAACUCUGUGACAGCCGCCGCCGUAAU